AAAGUGACAAAAUAGCAAUAUUUUCAAGAAACAACUUUUUAAAUUCUAAUUUAAUAGAAGUCAAGUUAUGGUCUGAGAGAUAACUUAAAAAUGGUAAGUUAUUUAGGAACAAGAUAAAAGGCAAAACACCAAACUUCAUACAAACUUAAAUGUUUGACAUUUAAAAAUUAAAGAGAUUUUUUUUAACGUGUAUUUGAGACAAAUAAGCCAACCUUGGUACAUAACCGCUGAAAACUAAAAAACCGUACCCUAAACCAACACAGGUGGAUAGGUCGAGUAGACUAAGGUGUAUGAGAUAAUUAUGUUGAAGGAACUCGGCAAAAUGACUCUGUAACUUCGGGAGAAAGAGUACCUUUUUAUUUAAGUGUUUAUCGACGAAAUAAUAAGAAG
This 390-nucleotide ribosomal RNA is filed under the name Aphanomyces astaci. Its description in RNAcentral is "partial large subunit ribosomal RNA". Lineage: Eukaryota; Oomycota; Saprolegniomycetes; Saprolegniales; Verrucalvaceae. The record is from RNAcentral.